AGCAAAGCCAGGAUUUGAACCAGAGACCUGGACUGCAGAGUGGUCAUUAUAGGAAGGGGCAGCCAGAAAGGGCAGAGGUGAGGAUGGGGUGCCAAUCGAACAGAACCCAGAGUUUUGUCUGUUCUUAGAGAUGAGAGGAACCCUCUGAAGAAGAUGGUUAAGACCUCAAGGUCAAUCCCCUUGACAGCAGCUGGUGCUCUGAGCCAUCCCAGGUGCGUGUAGCGUGGGGGGAGUAGCUUCUCCCGUCUUUCAGAGUCUCUGUUGAAAGAGAUCUUCCAACCUUUUGCCCAACUCUGAUACAUUUCAGGCAGUCCAGCCCCAGAAACUAGGGGACCAGGCUCCACCGGGGGCAGCAUCUAGUGUCUCAGGAUAUGGAGGGAAGGGUCCUCUGUACACUCAUGCUAGGGAUUGGAGCGAGGAGCUGGAUGGCAGCGCUGCUGACUUGCAAGAGAUAUCUGCUGGCUCACGGACAGUGUGAAGGAAAGCUUGUAAUUGCAGCCAUAAAUCAAAUGCAGACAGAGGAAAGCUGUCAGACUUUCUGGAGUUAUUUUGUACAGAGAGGAGGAGAUCAACUCUUAAGCCUCUGGAGAUUGUGCCUGGAACCACUGCAAGCAUCUAGCGACCAGCCCAAGGCUGACAAAAGCACUGAGGAGAGCAGAGCAGAGAGGUAGAAAGAACCUGGGUGUUUGGUGAUGUCAUUAAGCUGCAAAAUGAACCAUUGCUGGAGCCAGCUUACCUUGUGAUUGCUUGUUUUGUGGGAACCUUGCUUCAAUACGUGAUAUCAAUUGGAAUGAUGGGAUAGUUUGCAUGUCUUAGGCACCCUGAAGUGGGCCAUAGCCAGUGCUUUCAGCCGCCUCCCUUUGCAGAGAGCGGUGACUUCCCCUGAGGUGUUUUGAGCAGAUGGAUGUGGGUGGCACUGGCCCAAGCCCCCAGGCCCGUCACUGAGAGAGACUCGUGAAGACCAGAAAAGCUCUCUGUCGACCUUGGGACUUGUCUGAGAGGGAACAGCUGCCAGGGCUGUCAAACGUGGAGCCGUGUUAAAGGAAUUAUGACAGGAAGAGCUCUGCCAUCAAGCAUUCUAAUAGCUGCUGCUUACUUCCAGGCAUCUCAGUCUAGAAUCCUACCACCUGUGUAACGGGCAAUGAGAACACUUGCGUUUAAUGUUGAACCCAACAAAUGCAGGAUUUCCCGAAGCCGGGGCCAUGGAGCACCAGGCCCAAGGCCUCCUCCAGAAAAGAGUGCUGAGUGGUCAAGAAAGUUUGGAAAAUACUCUCCCCACCUCUAGUGCACGUAGGUGCCUCGUGCGACUGGUCCCAGUCGUGUUUUGUCGUUUAGCCUUGGCACUCCAGCUAUACUUCCUCUUGCGCUUGGCGCGGUAGCUGCCCUUGCCGCAGGUGGACUCCUGCAGGUGGUGGGCCUUCCAGCCGCAGAGGCAGCACAGCAUGUGUGUCUGGUUGCGGCGCUUGCCGAACGAUGACGUCCCCUUCGUCAUCUUGCUUCUGCUGCCGAGACC
Molecule: long non-coding RNA, 1513 nt
Organism: Myotis daubentonii (Daubenton's bat)
Lineage: Eukaryota; Metazoa; Chordata; Mammalia; Chiroptera; Vespertilionidae
Source: RefSeq, a predicted model, not a curated record